CGCGUAGGCGGCCUAUUAAGUCGGUUGUGAAAUCUCUCGGCUUAACUGAGAGGGGUCAACCGAAACUGGUGGGCUUGAGGACAGCAGAGGGAAGUGGAAUUCCCGGUGUAGUGGUGAAAUGCGUAGAUAUCGGGAGGAACACCAGUGGCGAAGGCGGCUUCCUGGGCUGUUCCUGACGCUGAGGCGCGAAAGCGUGGGUAGCAAACAGGAUUAGAUACCCUGGUAGUCCACGCCGUAAACUAUGGACACUAGGUAUGGGGGGUAUCGACCCCUUCCGUGCCGAAGUUAACGCUAUAAGUGUCCCGCCUGGGGAGUACGGCCGCAAGGCUAAA
Molecule: ribosomal RNA, 332 nt
Filed under: uncultured bacterium
Lineage: Bacteria
Description: bacterial SSU rRNA
Rfam family: Bacterial small subunit ribosomal RNA
Source: RNAcentral